RNAcentral lists this ribosomal RNA (705 nucleotides) under uncultured Escherichia sp. RNAcentral describes it as "bacterial SSU rRNA". It matches the Rfam family "Bacterial small subunit ribosomal RNA", at positions 28 to 722 of the family's 1533-position model. The record is from RNAcentral. Lineage: Bacteria; Pseudomonadati; Pseudomonadota; Gammaproteobacteria; Enterobacterales; Enterobacteriaceae.
AUUGAACGCUGGCGGCAGGCCUAACACAUGCAAGUCGAAUGGUAACAGGAAACAGCUUGCUGUUUCGCUGACGAGUGGCGGACGGGUGAGUAAUGUCUGGGAAACUGCGUGAUGGAGGGGGAUAACUACUGGAAACGGUAGCUAAUACCGCAUAACGUCGCAAGACCAAAGAGGGGGACCUUCGGGCCUCUUGCCAUCAGAUGUGCCCAGAUGGGAUUAGCUAGUAGGUGGGGUAACGGCUCACCUAGGCGACGAUCCCUAGCUGGUCUGAGAGGAUGACCAGCCACACUGGAACUGAGACACGGUCCAGACUCCUACGGGAGGCAGCAGUGGGGAAUAUUGCACAAUGGGCGCAAGCCUGAUGCAGCCAUGCCGCGUGUAUGAAGAAGGCCUUCGGGUUGUAAAGUACUUUCAGCGGGGAGGAAGGGAGUAAAGUUAAUACCUUUGCUCAUUGACGUUACCCGCAGAAGAAGCACCGGCUAACUCCGUGCCAGCAGCCGCGGUAAUACGGAGGGUGCAAGCGUUAAUCGGAAUUACUGGGCGUAAAGCGCACGCAGGCGGUUUGUUAAGUCAGAUGUGAAAUCCCCGGGCUCAACCUGGGAACUGCAUCUGAUACUGGCAAGCUUGAGUCUCGUAGAGGGGGGUAGAAUUCCAGGUGUAGCGGUGAAAUGCGUAGAGAUCUGGAGGAAUACCGGUGGCGAAGGC